GGGGCGUGGGGACAGCGGCCGCGGCGCGGCGGAGGCCGGCGGGGUAAGAGAGGUAGAGGAUGGAGCCAUGGGCGAGGGGGAGGGAGGAGAGGCGGACGGAGGGGUCGAGGGCAGGGGUCUGGGCCUUGGAGGGGAGUAGGAGAUUGGGGUCGAGGGAGAGGGUUUGGGCAGCGGCGGGGACGCCGAGCUGGGACUCGAUGAGCGAGCGAAUGGUGGCGACGGUGGCGGCGGAGGGGUCCGGCACGGUGACGCGCUCCAGGCCGUCACGGCUGCGGAUCCGAAGGAUCAUCUUCCUCUGCUUUCUG
Molecule: long non-coding RNA, 305 nt
Filed under: Musa acuminata (dwarf banana)
Lineage: Eukaryota; Viridiplantae; Streptophyta; Magnoliopsida; Zingiberales; Musaceae
Description: long non-coding RNA (MACU_LNC000698)
Source: RNAcentral